RNAcentral lists this ribosomal RNA (497 nucleotides) under uncultured bacterium. Its description in RNAcentral is "partial 16S ribosomal RNA". It matches the Rfam family "Bacterial small subunit ribosomal RNA", at positions 28 to 507 of the family's 1533-position model. The record is from RNAcentral.
GAUGAACGCUGGCGGCGUGCCUAAUACAUGCAAGUCGAGCGAACAGACGAGGAGCUUGCUCCUCUGACGUUAGCGGCGGACGGGUGAUUAACACGUGGAUAACCUACCUAUAAGACUGGGCUAACUUCGGGAAACCGGAUCUAAUACCGGAUAAUAUAUUGAACCGCAUGGUUCAAUAGUGAAAGACGGUUUUGCUCUCACUUAUAGAUGUAUCCGCGCCGCAUUAGCUAGUUGGUAAGGUAACGGCUUACCAAGGCAACGAUGCGUAGCCGACCUGAGAGGGUGAUCGGCCACACUGGGACUGAGACACGGUCCAGACUCCUACGGGAGGCAGCAGUAGGGAAUCUUCCGCAAUGGGCGAAAGCCUGACGGAGCAACGCCGCGUGAGUGAUGAAGGUCUUCGGAUCGUAAAACUCUGUUAUUAGGGAAGAACAAAUGUGUAAGUAACUAUGCACGUCUUGACGGUACCUAAACAGAAAGCCACGGCUAACUACGUG